UGGGGAAUCUUGGACAAUGGGGGCAACCCUGAUCCAGCAAUGCCGCGUGGGUGAAGAAGGCCUUCGGGUUGUAAAGCCCUUUCGGCAGGGAAGAAAUCGGCGGGGCGAAUAACCCUGCUGGAUGACGGUACCUGCAGAAGAAGCACCGGCUAACUACGUGCCAGCAGCCGCGGUAAUACGUAGGGUGCGAGCGUUAAUCGGAUUUACUGGGCGUAAAGCGUGCGCAGGCGGCCCGUUAAGACAGGUGUGAAAUCCCUGGGCUCAACCUAGGAAUUGCGCUUGUGACUGGCGGGCUCGAGUACGGUAGAGGGGGGUGGAAUUCCUGGUGUAGCAUGAAAUGCGUAGAGAUCAGGAGGAACACCGAUGGCGAAGGCAGCCCCCUGGGCCUGUACUGACGCUCAUGCACGAAAGCGUGGGGAGCAAACAGGAUUAGAUACCCUGGUAGUCCACGCCCUAAACGAUGGGUACUAGCCGUUUGGUGCGCGAUAGCGCUGAGUGGCGAAGCUAACGCGUGAAGUACCCCGCCUGGGGAGUACGGCCGCGAGGUUGAAACUCAAAUGAAUUGAC
This 567-nucleotide ribosomal RNA is filed under the name uncultured bacterium. RNAcentral describes it as "partial 16S ribosomal RNA". It matches the Rfam family "Bacterial small subunit ribosomal RNA", at positions 355 to 914 of the family's 1533-position model. The record is from RNAcentral.